GGGCGAGAAAAGCUGAUGGCGGAGUUUAUAGAUGUCCGUACCGGAAACCGACACAGGUGGGUGAGGCGAGCAGCCUCAGGUGAACGAGUGAAACGUGGUCAAGGAACUCGGCAUAAUGAUCCCGUAACUUCGGAAGAAGGGAUGCCAGAGAGGGUGUAGGGUACACCGAAGCUCUCCCUGGUCGCAGCGAAUCGGCCCAAGCGACUGUUUAGCAAAAACACAGGUGUGUGCCAAGCCGCACAAGGCGCCGUAUACACACUGACGCCUGCCCGGUGCCGGAAGGUUAAGGGGAGAGGUUAGCCGCAAGGCGAAGCUUUGAGCCGAAGCCCCGGUAAACGGCGGCCGUAACAAUAACGGUCCUAAGGUAGCGAAAUUCCUUGUCGGGUAAGUUCCGACCUGCACGAAUGGCGUAACGGCUUGGGCACUGUCUCGACCACGUGCUCGGCGAAAUGGCAGUCUCGGUGAGGAUUCCGAGUCCCCGCGACAGGACAAAAAGACCCCAUGCACCUUUACUGUAGCUUGUCAUUGGUCGUUGCACAUCGCUGUGUAGCAUAGGUGGGAGGCGUUGAUCCGUGGGCGCUAGCUUACGGGGAGCCAUCAGUGAAAUACCACCCUGCGUCGUGCGACGCCCUCACCACGGCGGGAACACCCCGUCUGGGACCGUGGCAGGUGGGCAGUUUGACUGGGGCGGUCGCCUCCGAAACAGUAACGGAGGCGCGCGCAAGGUUGGCUCAGCGCGGACGGUACUCGCGCUUCUAGAGUGUAACGGCAGAAGCCAGCCUGACGGUGAGAUCGACGGAUCGAGCCGCCACGAAAGUGGGCCGUAGUGAUCCGGUAGCCCGGGGUGGAGCGGCUAUCGCGCAACGGAUAAAAGGUACGCUGGGGAUAACAGGCUUAUCGCGCCCGAGAGUUCACAUCGACGGCGCGGUUUGGCACCUCGAUGUCGGCUUAUCACAUCCUGGGGCUGGAGAAGGUCCCAAGGGUCCGGCUGUUCGCCGGUUAAAGUGGUACAUGAGCUGGGUUCAGAACGUCGUGAGACAGUUCGGUCUGUAUCCGUCGUGGGCGUUGGAGAGUUGAGGGGAGCGGACUCUAGUACGAGAGGACCGAGUCGGACGACCCGCUCGUGUCCCGGUUGUCCUGCCAAGGGCACCGCCGGGUAGCGAUGGUCGGCUGUGAUAACCGCUGAAAGCAUCUAAGUGGGAAGCACGCCCCAAGAUAAACUCUCCCGAGGCCUUGAGCCUCUUGAAGGGCCGGGGAAGACCACCCCGUCGAUAGGCCGCCCGUGGACGUCCCGCAAGGGAUUCCAAGCGCAGCGGUCCUAAUCGCCCGUAUGGCUU
RNAcentral lists this ribosomal RNA (1337 nucleotides) under metagenome. Its description in RNAcentral is "bacterial LSU rRNA". It matches the Rfam family "Bacterial large subunit ribosomal RNA", at positions 1606 to 2925 of the family's 2925-position model. The record is from RNAcentral.